This 466-nucleotide ribosomal RNA is filed under the name uncultured bacterium. RNAcentral describes it as "partial 16S ribosomal RNA". It matches the Rfam family "Bacterial small subunit ribosomal RNA", at positions 355 to 813 of the family's 1533-position model. The record is from RNAcentral.
UGGGGAAUAUUGCACAAUGGGCGCAAGCCUGAUGCAGCCAUGCCGCGUGUGUGAAGAAGGCCUUCGGGUUGUAAAGCACUUUCAGCGAGGAGGAAGGUGGUGAACUUAAUACGUUCAUCAAUUGACGUUACUCGCAGAAGAAGCACCGGCUAACUCCGUGCCAGCAGCCGCGGUAAUACGGAGGGUGCAAGCGUUAAUCGGAAUUACUGGGCGUAAAGCGCACGCAGGCGGUUUGUUAAGUCAGAUGUGAAAUCCCCGGGCUCAACCUGGGAACUGCAUUUGAAAACUGGCAAGCUAGAGUCUCGUAGAGGGGGGUAGAAUUCCAGGUGUAGCGGUGAAAUGCGUAGAGAUCUGGAGGAAUACCGGUGGCGAAGGCGGCCCCCCUGGANGAAGACUGACGCUCAGGUGCGAAAGCGUGGGGAGCAAACAGAUUAGAUACCCUGGUAGUCACGCUGUAAACGAUGUC